AAUGUCCAAACCAUCCUGAACAUGCCUGAUUCCGUUUGAUCUUGUCAGCUAAGCAGGGUUGGGCCUGGUUACUACUUGGAUGGGAGAAAUGUCCUGGCUAUAGCCACUA
Molecule: ribosomal RNA, 109 nt
Filed under: Carlito syrichta (Philippine tarsier)
Lineage: Eukaryota; Metazoa; Chordata; Mammalia; Primates; Tarsiidae
Source: RNAcentral